AGCGAUAUAGUUCAAUCGGUAGAACCUCCCCAUUUACGGCUGAGGAAUGAGAGUUCGAGUCUCUCUGUCGCUG
Molecule: transfer RNA, 73 nt
Filed under: Ignavibacteria bacterium
Lineage: Bacteria; Pseudomonadati; Ignavibacteriota; Ignavibacteria
Description: tRNA-Lys
Rfam family: tRNA
About the family: Transfer RNA (tRNA) molecules are approximately 80 nucleotides in length. Their secondary structure includes four short double-helical elements and three loops (D, anti-codon, and T loops). Further hydrogen bonds mediate the characteristic L-shaped molecular structure. tRNAs have two regions of fundamental functional importance: the anti-codon, which is responsible for specific mRNA codon recognition, and the 3' end, to which the tRNAs corresponding amino acid is attached (by aminoacyl-tRNA synthetases). tRNAs cope with the degeneracy of the genetic code in two manners: having more than one tRNA (with a specific anti-codon) for a particular amino acid; and 'wobble' base-pairing, i.e. permitting non-standard base-pairing at the 3rd anti-codon position.
Source: RNAcentral